This 1091-nucleotide long non-coding RNA is filed under the name Mus musculus (house mouse). Its description in RNAcentral is "predicted gene 9258 (Gm9258)". The record is from RNAcentral. Lineage: Eukaryota; Metazoa; Chordata; Mammalia; Rodentia; Muridae.
AGUGGGGUUUUGCCCCGCCCGCCAGGCAGCUCGGGCCGCGCGCACACGCGGAGCCGCCGGAGCCCGGGCCGACCCGGUGCCGGGAGCAGCAUGCGGAGCCCGCAGGUACCGGGGUGCACGGGGCGCACGGGGGACACAGGGGGCGGGGUGGGCGGCGCCGGCUUUGUGCUUCCAAGCUUCUCCGCCUUUGUGCUCCGAAGGGGGUCCGGGCUGCAGCCGUAAUCGGAUUCUGCAAGAAGGAGAGGGAUGUGGAGGACCUGGAGGGAUGGAGCUGGAGAAAUGGGGACCGCGAGGGUUGUGGACCCGGAGGGACAGAGACCCACAGAAACGGGAACCGGUAGAGACAGGGUCCAGGAGGGAUGAGGACGCGCGCGGGCGACUUGGCCCGUACCCAGGGUCACCGACUGCACCAGCCGGGCGGGGACGCGGUGUGCGGUGCGCGGUGUCAGCGUCUGGAGCUGCAGACCGGGCCAGGCGCCUCAGAUCACCUGGGGCUUCGGUUCCACCCUUCUGCGGUCCGGGCGCCCCCAACCCCCGACCUCCCCCAGCUUUGGGAUUGGGACUGCUCAUCCACCCUCAUCCUCGCGAUGCGGGGGCCUGUGGGGAACCCCGGGGAGCCAGCCUGCGGCCCUAAGGCCCCCGGUACACCCCAAGAGCCCCCCGACUGGCUGAGGGUGGUGACGUCACCGGGGGCGGGGACUGGGGCGCAGAAGGAAAUGGGGUCCGAGAGCAGGUACCCCCGUUGCAAUGCGAGCUGGGUCAGGGCCAAGUUCUCUGCUCAUCGUGGAGCCUCUUCACCCCCAAACCCCAGCACCACUAUGAGCGAGGAUCCUUUUGAUUGCCACACCCCCCAAAUCCCUGUGCGUUACCCCUUUUCCCUGCUCUCAAAUCUGCCUCCAUAUGCCCCCGAAAACCUGCAGCAGGUGUGAGCGCCCAUCUUCCCGGUCACCCCUCACCUCGUCUCUCCCUCCAGUAGAACCUCCUAACGGUCACUUCCCCGGGUGUCUCCUGGCCUGGCAGGGGUUCCCUUACGCUCACUUUCCAACCUGAGCAAGGAUGUCCCUCCCCCAAUAAACCGUCCUUGGUGCUCA